This 561-nucleotide ribosomal RNA is filed under the name uncultured bacterium. RNAcentral's name for it is "bacterial SSU rRNA". It matches the Rfam family "Bacterial small subunit ribosomal RNA", at positions 338 to 916 of the family's 1533-position model. The record is from RNAcentral.
CCUACGGGAGGCAGCAGUGGGGAAUAUUGGACAAUGGGCGCAAGCCUGAUCCAGCAAUUCCGCGUGGGUGAAGAAGGUCUUCGGAUUGUAAAGCCCUUUCGUUGGGGACGAUGAUGACGGUACCCAAAGAAGAAGCCCCGGCUAACUUCGUGCCAGCAGCCGCGGUAAUACGAAGGGGGCUAGCGUUGCUCGGAAUGACUGGGCGUAAAGGGCGCGUAGGCGGCACAACUCGUCAGGCGUGAAAUUCCUGGGCUUAACCUGGGGGCUGCGUUUGAUACGGUUGGGCUAGAGGAUGGAAGAGGCUCGUGGAAUUCCCAGUGUAGAGGUGAAAUUCGUAGAUAUUGGGAAGAACACCGGUGGCGAAGGCGGCGAGCUGGUCCAUUACUGACGCUGAGGCGCGAAAGCGUGGGGAGCAAACAGGAUUAGAUACCCUGGUAGUCCACGCUGUAAACGAUGUGCGCUGGAUGUUGGGUAACUUAGUUACUCAGUGUCGUAGCUAACGCGAUAAGCGCACCGCCUGGGGAGUACGGCCGCAAGGUUGAAACUCAAAUGAAUUGACGG